UGGGGAAUAUUGGACAAUGGGGGCAACCCUGAUCCAGCAAUACCGCGUGUGUGAAGAAGGCCUGAGGGUUGUAAAGCACUUUCAAUUGGGAAGAAAAGUUAGCAAUUAAUACCUGUUAACCUUGACGUUACCUUUAGAAGAAGCACCGGCUAACUCCGUGCCAGCAGCCGCGGUAAUACGGAGGGUGCAAGCGUUAAUCGGAAUUACUGGGCGUAAAGCGUGCGUAGGUGGUUUAUUAAGUCAGAUGUGAAAUCCCCGGGCUUAACCUGGGAACUGCAUUUGAAACUGGUAAACUAGAGUAUAGGAGAGGAAAGUGGAAUUUCAGGUGUAGCGGUGAAAUGCGUAGAUAUCUGAAGGAACAUCAAUGGCGAAGGCGACUUCCUGGACUAAAACUGACGCUGAGGAACGAAAGCGUGGGUAGCAAACG
This 427-nucleotide ribosomal RNA is filed under the name Gigantidas vrijenhoeki thiotrophic gill symbiont. RNAcentral's name for it is "bacterial SSU rRNA". It matches the Rfam family "Bacterial small subunit ribosomal RNA", at positions 355 to 774 of the family's 1533-position model. The record is from RNAcentral. Lineage: Bacteria; Pseudomonadati; Pseudomonadota; Gammaproteobacteria.